This 1724-nucleotide ribosomal RNA is filed under the name Proteus sp. TJ1640. RNAcentral's name for it is "bacterial LSU rRNA". It matches the Rfam family "Bacterial large subunit ribosomal RNA", at positions 1223 to 2925 of the family's 2925-position model. The record is from RNAcentral. Lineage: Bacteria; Pseudomonadati; Pseudomonadota; Gammaproteobacteria; Enterobacterales; Morganellaceae.
GUUGGGUAGGGGAGCGUUCUGUAAGCCUGCGAAGGUGUACUGUGAGGUAUGCUGGAGGUAUCAGAAGUGCGAAUGCUGACAUAAGUAACGAUAAUGCGGGUGAAAAACCCGCACGCCGGAAGACCAAGGGUUCCUGUCCAACGUUAAUCGGGGCAGGGUGAGUCGACCCCUAAGGCGAGGCUGAAAAGCGUAGUCGAUGGGAAACGGGUUAAUAUUCCCGUACUGGUGGUAACUGCGAUGGGGGAACGGAGAAGGCUAGGUUGUCCGGGCGACGGUCGUCCCGGUUCAAGCAUGUAGGCAGAGUGACUAGGCAAAUCCGGUCACUUAAUGCUGAGGUGUGAUGACGAACCACUAAGGUGGUGAAGCAAUUGAUGCCCUGCUUCCAGGAAAAGCCUCUAAGCUUCAGGUUACCAACAAUCGUACCCCAAACCGACACAGGUGGUCAGGUAGAGAAUACUCAGGCGCUUGAGAGAACUCGGGUGAAGGAACUAGGCAAAAUGGUGCCGUAACUUCGGGAGAAGGCACGCUGGCGGUAAGUGAAGUCCCUUGCGGACGGAGCCGAAGCCAGUCGAAGAUACCAGCUGGCUGCAACUGUUUAUUAAAAACACAGCACUGUGCAAACACGAAAGUGGACGUAUACGGUGUGACGCCUGCCCGGUGCUGGAAGGUUAAUUGAUGGGGUUAUCCUUAGGGAGAAGCUCUUGAUCGAAGCCCCAGUAAACGGCGGCCGUAACUAUAACGGUCCUAAGGUAGCGAAAUUCCUUGUCGGGUAAGUUCCGACCUGCACGAAUGGCGUAAUGAUGGCCAGGCUGUCUCCACCCGAGACUCAGUGAAAUUGAACUCGCUGUGAAGAUGCAGUGUACCCGCGGCAAGACGGAAAGACCCCGUGAACCUUUACUAUAGCUUGACACUGAACAUUGAGCCUUGAUGUGUAGGAUAGGUGGGAGACUAUGAAAUGUGGACGCCAGUCUGCAUGGAGUCAACCUUGAAAUACCACCCUUUAACGUUUGAUGUUCUAACCUAGGCCCAUAAUCUGGGUCGGGGACCGUGUCUGGUGGGUAGUUUGACUGGGGCGGUCUCCUCCUAAAGAGUAACGGAGGAGCACGAAGGUUGGCUAAGCAUGGUCGGACAUCAUGCGGUUAGUGCAAAGGCAUAAGCCAGCUUGACUGUGAGAGUGACGGCUCGAGCAGGUACGAAAGUAGGUCUUAGUGAUCCGGUGGUUCUGAAUGGAAGGGCCAUCGCUCAACGGAUAAAAGGUACUCCGGGGAUAACAGGCUGAUACCGCCCAAGAGUUCAUAUCGACGGCGGUGUUUGGCACCUCGAUGUCGGCUCAUCACAUCCUGGGGCUGAAGUAGGUCCCAAGGGUAUGGCUGUUCGCCAUUUAAAGUGGUACGCGAGCUGGGUUUAGAACGUCGUGAGACAGUUCGGUCCCUAUCUGCCGUGGGCGUUGGAAGAUUGAGAGGGGUUGCUCCUAGUACGAGAGGACCGGAGUGAACGCACCACUGGUGUUCGGGUUGUCAUGCCAAUGGCAUUGCCCGGUAGCUAAGUGCGGAAGAGAUAACCGCUGAAAGCAUCUAAGCGGGAAACUUGCCUCGAGAUGAGUCUUCCCUGUCACCUUGAGUGACCUAAAGGAACGUUUAAGACUAAGACGUUGAUAGGCUGGGUGUGUAAGCGUAGCGAUACGUUGAGCUAACCAGUACUAAUGAACCGUGAGGCUUAACCUG